RNAcentral lists this ribosomal RNA (448 nucleotides) under uncultured bacterium. RNAcentral describes it as "bacterial SSU rRNA". It matches the Rfam family "Bacterial small subunit ribosomal RNA", at positions 330 to 794 of the family's 1533-position model. The record is from RNAcentral.
CCCAGACUCCUACGGGAGGCAGCAGUGGGGGAUAUUGCACAAUGGGGGAAACCCUGAUGCAGCGACGCCGCGUGAGUGAAGAAGUAUUUCGGUAUGUAAAGCUCUAUCAGCAGGGAAGAAAAAAGACGGUACCUGACUAAGAAGCCCCGGCUAACUACGUGCCAGCAGCCGCGGUAAUACGUAGGGGGCAAGCGUUAUCCGGAUUUACUGGGUGUAAAGGGAGCGUAGACGGCAAUACAAGUCGGAAGUGAAAUACCCGGGCUCAACCUGGGAACUGCUUUGGAAAUUGUAUGGCUGGAGUGCUGGAGAGGUAAGCGGAAUUCCUAGUGUAGCGGUGAAAUGCGUAGAUAUUAGGAGGAACACCAGUGGCGAAGGCGGCUUACUGGACAGUAACUGACGUUGAGGCUCGAAAGCGUGGGGAGCAAACAGGAUUAGAUACCCUCGUAGU